AGAUAAGCACAGUAAGCAGCGAGGGCUCGGCCUGAGAAAUACAUACACACUUACAGACACACAUACAUAUAUACACAGAGGAUAGCAGUCCUUCAACAGGAUUUUGCAGGUUUCACUAGCACUUAUACAAAAGAGCAGAGAAGGGAAGGAAAAAGAGAAGAGAAGAGAAGAGAAGAGAAGAGAAGAGAAGAGAAGAGAAGAGAAGAGAAGAGAAGAGAAGAGAAGCAGAGACAAAGCAGUCUGCAUAUGGAAAAGUUCGGCCAUGUGCACAGGUGCCGUCAUGUCCGGGUGAAUGCGGCUCACCAGACACUGGGGCUGGACAGGGAGAAGACUAGAAGAACCAGCACAUGCAAGCAACGUUCAGCCAUCAGGAAAUACUCCUUUCACCCAGACUGAGUUCAGAGGAUUCACAUUCCAGUUUCAUUUUAUACAUGAUUAUGCCA
Neoarius graeffei (lesser salmon catfish) is the source of this 443-nucleotide long non-coding RNA. RefSeq lists it as uncharacterized. The record is from RefSeq and is a predicted model, not a curated record. NCBI's taxonomy places the organism in Eukaryota, Metazoa, Chordata, Actinopteri, Siluriformes, Ariidae. The transcript has 4 exons.